UACGUAGGGGGCUAGCGUUGUCCGGAAUCAUUGGGCGUAAAGCGCGCGUAGGCGGCCAGAUAAGUCCGGUGUGAAAGUCACAGGCUCAACCUGUGAAUGCCGCUGGAAACUGUCUGGCUAGAGUCCGGAAGGGGCGAGUGGAAUUCCUGGUGUAGCGGUGAAAUGCGCAGAUAUCAGGAGGAACGCCAAUGGCGAAGGCAGCUCGCUGGGACGGUACUGACGCUGAGGCGCGAAAGCGUGGGGAGCAAACAGG
RNAcentral lists this ribosomal RNA (253 nucleotides) under uncultured bacterium. RNAcentral's name for it is "partial 16S ribosomal RNA". It matches the Rfam family "Bacterial small subunit ribosomal RNA", at positions 524 to 776 of the family's 1533-position model. The record is from RNAcentral.